This 497-nucleotide ribosomal RNA is filed under the name uncultured bacterium. RNAcentral describes it as "partial 16S ribosomal RNA". It matches the Rfam family "Bacterial small subunit ribosomal RNA", at positions 28 to 507 of the family's 1533-position model. The record is from RNAcentral.
GAUGAACGCUGGCGGCGUGCCUAAUACAUGCAAGUCGAGCGAACAGACGAGGAGCUUGCUCCUCUGACGUUAGCGGCGGACGGGUGAGUAACACGUGGAUAACCUACCUAUAAGACUGGGAUAACUUCGGGAAACCGGAGCUAAUACCGGAUAACAUGUUGAACCGCAUGGUUCAACAGUGAAAGACGGUCUUGCUGUCACUUAUAGAUGGAUCCGCGCCGCAUUAGCUAGUUGGUACGGUAACGGCUUACCAAGGCAACGAUGCGUAGCCGACCUGAGAGGGUGAUCGGCCACACUGGAACUGAGACACGGUCCAGACUCCUACGGGAGGCAGCAGUAGGGAAUCGUACGCAAUGGGCGAAAGCCUGACGGAGCAACGCCGCGUGAGUGAAGAAGGUCUUCGGAUCGUAAAACUCUGUUAUUAGGGAAGAACAUAUGUGUAAGUAACUAUGCACGUCUUGACGGUACCUAAUCAGAAAGCCACGGCUAACUACGUG